Molecule: ribosomal RNA, 504 nt
Filed under: uncultured Acidobacteriota bacterium
Lineage: Bacteria; Pseudomonadati; Acidobacteriota
Description: bacterial SSU rRNA
Rfam family: Bacterial small subunit ribosomal RNA
Source: RNAcentral
CCUAUGAAGUAGGCUUCCGCAAGGACAUCUGUAGAGGUGCUGCAUGGCUGUCGUCAGCUCGUGUCGUGAGAUGUUGGGUUAAGUCCCGCAACGAGCGCAACCCUUGUCUUCUGUUGCCAUCGGGUUAUGCCGGGCACUCUGAAGAGACUGCCGGUGACAAACCGGAGGAAGGUGGGGAUGACGUCAAGUCAGCAUGGCCUUUAUGUCUGGGGCCACACACGUGCUACAAUGGCCGGUACAAACCGUCGCAAACUCGCAAGGGUGAGCUAAUCGGAGAAAGCCGGUCUCAGUUCGGAUUGUAGGCUGCAACUCGCCUGCAUGAAGUUGGAAUCGCUAGUAAUCGCGGAUCAGCACGCCGCGGUGAAUACGUUCCCGGGCCUUGUACACACCGCCCGUCACAUCACGAAAGCUGGCUGUACUAGAAGUCGCUGAGCGAACCCGCAAGGGACGCAGGUGCCUAAGGUAUGGUCAGUGAUUGGGGUGAAGUCGUAACAAGGUAACCGU